UUGAAGAGUUUGAUCAUGGCUCAGAUUGAACGCUGGCGGCAGGCCUAACACAUGCAAGUCGAACGGAAACAUGUCUAGCUUGCUAGAUGAUGUCGAGUGGCGGACGGG
RNAcentral lists this ribosomal RNA (108 nucleotides) under Nephroselmis pyriformis. Its description in RNAcentral is "partial Bacterial small subunit ribosomal RNA". It matches the Rfam family "Bacterial small subunit ribosomal RNA", at positions 1 to 106 of the family's 1533-position model. The record is from RNAcentral. Lineage: Eukaryota; Viridiplantae; Chlorophyta; Nephroselmidophyceae; Nephroselmidales; Nephroselmidaceae.